This is an RNA transcript of Alligator mississippiensis (American alligator), 8293 nucleotides long. It is a transcript of the gene named testis expressed 14, intercellular bridge forming factor, with no coding region annotated. NCBI's taxonomy places the organism in Eukaryota, Metazoa, Chordata, Crocodylia, Alligatoridae. The transcript is spliced from 40 exons. The record is from RefSeq and is a predicted model, not a curated record.
UGCUGUAACGGUCGCUGGCUUCGACCGUUGGGCCGGGCCUGAGGCGGCGGCGGCGGCGGCGCCUCCCGCGGGAUGUCCCACGUGCUGCCCCUGCCCGUGCCCUGCCCGGUGUCGUUGGGCACCGUGCGGCGCGACGGCCCCGAGGCGGAGCUGCACGAGGCCGUGCGGCGGGGGAGCCGCGCUGCUGUUAAGAAGCUCCUGAAGAGAGGGAUCCACGUGGAUGCAGUAAACUCCUUGGGCCAGACUGCUCUCUUUACUGCUGCACUCUUCGGUCUCGGCAAAAUAGUGGAUGUGCUGUUGGAUUACGGCUCGGACCCAAAUCACCGUUGCUAUGAUGGGAGCACGCCAGUACAUGCUGCAGCCUUCUCAGGAAAUCAGGGGGUUCUUAGUAAGUUGUUGGAUGUGGGCGGUGAUCUGCGAGUCCACGAUAAAGAUGGAAGAACUCCACAGUGCUGGGCUCUGUCAGCUGGAAAGGAAACUAGUGCUCAGAUGCUGGAAUUUAUGCAGCGUUGUGCUUCACACAUGCAGGCCGCAAUUCAGAAUUUCCCUUCUGAUUUACUUAGGAAGACUGACUCAUCCAAAGUACUGAUCUGUGGCCCAGGUAGAUUUGGUGGCCUUGUUCAAGGGAUUGCAGACAGUCCUCUGGGUAAAUUUCUAAAAGGUGGAGCAAAUUCAUCACGGAACAUCUACAGCUUUGGGUUCGGGAAGUUUCAUCUAACAGGCAAUAAGCAGCUUGGGUACCUGGCAUCUCUCCCUAUCAUUGGGGAUAGAGAAGUGUUCCAGGCAGAUGAUGAACCCACAUUCUCUUACCACACGGGACCAUACAUGCUUAUGACAAACCUAAUGUGGGGUGGCAGCAGAGUCACGGUGAAGGAGCUCAAUUUUAAACCACAUCAGAACUGUAGUAAGCUCCGUUUAGCUGAUCUUCUAAUAGCAGAGCAGGAGCAUAGUAGUAAACUUCGCCAUCCUCACUUGCUGCAGCUGAUGGCAGUUUGUUUAUCUAGUGACUUGGAAAAAACUCGUUUGGUGUAUGAGAGAGUUAGCUUUGGCUCACUGUACAGCAUCCUCCAUGAAAGGCGUUCAGAGUUCCCAGUACUGUACAUGGAGACAAUUGUGUUUCUGCUGCUUCAAAUUAAUGAUGCAUUGAGGUUCUUGCAUGCUCGUGGAUUUGUCCACCGCUCACUGACCUCCUAUGCUGUACAGAUUGUUUCUGCCGGCGAAGCAAAGUUAACAAACUUGGAGUACACGCUCGAAAGCAAGGAGGGAGGAGAACACAUUGAUCUUACACGCGUUGCUGUCCCAGCUCAGCUAUAUAGAUGGUGCUCUCCUGAAGUGAUCCUUCAAAAGGCUGCUACAGUCAAAUCAGACAUUUAUAGCUUCUGUACAGUAAUGCAAGAGGCCUUAACAGAAACUCUGCCCUGGAGUGGCCAGGAAGACUCCUUUAUUAAAGAACUCAUUGUUUCGCGGCAAUACCUGAAUACUGAUGUCAGACUUCCUAAACCCUAUUAUGACAUUGUAAAGACAGGCUUGGAAGCCAAACAGAAGGACCGCUCCAUCAGCCUCCAGGAUAUUCGGUAUACCCUGCAGAAUGACUUAAAGGAUUUGAUUGCUGCUCGAAUGGAUCGCCCUGGUGAAAGCUCACAUGCACAAGGGCACAGUCUGUCUGCAGACGUAAACAUCUAUUUGGGGUCAGAAUCCAAGUACCAGAGGAGCACACUUGAGCUGCAAGGAGAAGCAAUCGUAGAGUCUGCAUGCAGCUAUACUGUGCCAAGAUGUUCAGUAUCUCCUGCGAAAAAAGGAACUGUUCUAGAUCAUGAAGCUAUGGUUAGUGUGCAGCCAGGUCUACACGAUCUGAGCCAAGAUGUGGCUUCUAACCUCCAGAGGACCUUCAGUGCCAGUGAUGUUAAUGAGAGCCUCUGUAGCUUUGAAAUGAAUGAAAUCUAUGCAUAUUAUUCAGAAUUCCAUGAAAAUGCUAUGGAAGGACAAGCUGAGAUAGAGUGUGCCUUGGGGGCUGAAAUAGAGAAGCAAAAUGUAGAAGAGGGUAAGGAUGCCUCCAAGCUCCUACCUGUAACUUCUGAAAUACAGCUAGAGGAGAAGCCCAGUUCUGAGGAAGGGAGCUCUUCAGAAACAGAUCCAGAGCACAGUUUGGGGGAAGAAGAGGCACUAAGCGAGACCUCAGAGCUGUACAUGCUGGACCAAGAGGAAAGAGAUGUCAGGACUAGUCUGAGUAGCCCAUCCAGGACUGGGCAGCACAUUAGCAAAUGUGUCCUGAACCUAAAGAUUUCUCAGACCUUCCUGCAGCAGGCAACAAAUUCCAUUUGCAGAACAGAGGAGAAGUUAAAUGAAUUAGAGACAAUCCAAAAACAACAGAGACAGCUUAAGGAAAUGCAAACAGAACAGUUUGCUAAGCAGAUGUUCAUAGAGAGCUACCUGGAGAACAUUGAUGAUGUCCUCAAAAAUGUCAAGAUACCUUAUUCAGGAGCAAAUGUGUUUUUGUGGAAGGCAGUAGGCCCUCCUUCAAGGAACUAUACCCCUCCACCUUCACAAGUGCCUGGUUCACAGAAGGCUGUGGGGAUCAACCAUUUCCAGGCUAUCACAAAGGCUGUGCAGGAAAAAAGGAAAGCACAGAGAGAAAAGACAGAAUGCUUUGGUCAAAGUAACAAGAAUAAAGGUGAUGUCUACCACAGCAGUUUCUGCCUGGGGUCUUUAGUAGGACCAAGCAAUCAGCAGUUACACCCACGCGUGUCUGUAAGACGGAAAAGAAAUGUCAACUUGCAGCACGAGAGCGGAGGUGAUACAAGUUCUGCAGGAAGUGCAGUUGAAGAGGAGAUAUGGCGGCUUCCAAAAUCAGCAUCUGAAAUUUCCAACAGAAGAAUAUUAAGUGAAGAGAGAAGGAUGGUGCAGCCAGAAUGGACAACUGAAGUGAAACAGAUGGCUAAAAGAGCAGUCUCAGGCCAGCUGGGACUUCUUCCUCCAUAUGCGCCCAGUGAAUGCACUUCUGAGAGUGAAGCAGAAAGCCUGAAGGAGACAUAUCUACAAGCCACCAUCAAGGAUCGGGGAUAUCCUGAGUGGCAGAGAAGAGCUGGCAGGUGGCAGACAGGUAGUGGCACUGAGACGCUGGAUCUGGGGAGGAAGGAAAAAUCUGAAUCGGAGUGGAGCGACGCAGAGUCUAUCUUCGAAAGUUUUGCAGGUAGAAAUGGCCAGUCUCCAUCAAAAGAUGAGCAAGCAGAGUCUGGAACAGCCUCUCAUAAGAAUUCAGACAUUUCUAGAGGAUCUCAGAAUCUCUCUAGGGGGCAUUCGAGGGUGUUAGAUCAUUCCUCUGAUUCUUCUCCUGACCUAUCUGAUGAAUUUUUCACUCCUGACCCUGAUGAAUUUUUCCCUCCUGUUACUCAAGACAGCUCAGAGGUAGAGACCUCAAGUUCUGAAGGUGAAUUAGAAAUAACCCCAAAAGCCUGCGUACCAAACCAGAUUGGUGCGGAUGCAGAGUCAGGAAGAAAAAAAUUUCUCUGCAACACAGCAAAAGAAAACCUUAGCAAUAACACAGUGGGAGUAAAUCAACUCAGCCAUAUGCCUGUAGCCAGCGUUGAAGCAGCACAAGAAAUGAUACCUGGAGAGGCACUGGAAGAGUUCAAAGAAAACUAUAUAUCAUUGACAGAUAUUCAGGAUUUGUCCAGUAUUUCUUAUGAGCGAGAGAAUUCUAGUAAGGAUUCAACUUGUAAAACACCCAGAGUGGGUCAUGCGCCAACUAGUGUCAGCACUCCACUCAGCCCAGAGAAAAAAGUGUCAUCAUCCGCUAAAAAAUACAGAAACACCCAUGAAAUACCUCUGGAUACCUCUUGUUGGUCUACUCAAGAGACUGCCUUAACAGCAUCCAGCACUUUUACUACGGCCUGUGAGAAGCAAAGGAGCGCUGAACUGCCCUUCGUCCCUUUGGAAAGCUCCUCACUUGGAUUGACUGAGCCUAGUGGUUUGUCAGGCCUUGGGGCAGCCUCAUCUUUAAUAAAGGCCAGGAAAGAAUUUGGUAAACCCAUUUCUACCACUGAGCAGAUUGACCUGGAGAAAGCUGACUUAAUCCCAGCGUUCUCUCAGGCAUCAGACCACUUUAUGGACGAGCUGCCUCCACCAGCCCAGGAGCUACUUGAUGAAAUUGAAUAUUUGAAGCAGCAGACUGCUGCCUCUCAGGAGAAGGGAUCAUGUAGCAGCAGAGUGCCAGUGAAAGCUCCCAGUCAGUGUCAACUGGCAGACAAAGAGGAAGCAGAGGAAAUUGAAAAUCAGGGAGAAGUAGAUCAUACUGUCUGGACUAAAGAGACAUUGAAUCAAACAGAGGAAACAGAGAGGGCUCAUUCUACUCUUGAUGAUGCUUUAGAAAGACUGCUCCACCCGAUUGCUGAGGCUGACAAGGUCCAAGGAGGACCUGAGGGACUUCCUCUCAGGGCAACAAGCCUUAAAGAUCAAGGAGAGGAAGGAAUGAAGAGUGGAAUAGAGGAAAGCAGUACCAGGGCAGAAAGCCGAGAGACAGAAAGCCGUGCAGGGAAUACUGAAGCUACAUAUCUCGAAGAUCAGAAACCCAAGUUGCGGCAGCGGCUACCUUGGACUUCUCCAGUCAGGGUAAUUGUCUUGGAUCAGAGCAGCCCUCCUAAGUGAUUGAAAUGGAACCUCUUUGAGAUGCAGCUAAUGAUGACCUUUUUAUGGAGCUACCAAGAAGAAUGACAAGCUUGUGCUGAGAGACCCUGGAACUGAGCAAGUGGCUGCAUGUGGACCCAGACAAGCAAGAGCAAUACAGAAAGUUAAACAAACAAGAAACAGAGGUGUGCGGUUGUCUUUCUACCAGAUCAAGGAGCUGAAACAUCUGUCAUGGGGCCAGGACCUUGACAACUAGUUUCCCCAAGGAGCGUGGCAGGCUUUGCUUUCCAGCUUCCCAGCAGCACUGCAGCUUCCACUUGCGGUGGUCCAAAGUACCAGACCGGAGCGAGUCAGAGGUGUUGCCUACAUGAAGAGGGAAACUUGGCAUGGCAGGGAUGUGCUUCCUUGUGUUACAGGAAACCUUUAAUGAAACGAGGCCUGGGGCAGUUGGAGACACCUAUAAGGGAACCAGGCAAGAAAAAGCAAAUGGUUCGUGAAGUGGCCCUAACAAGGCUCUGCGUACUCAAAUGCUGCCACGCUCAGCUCACUGCUGCUUGGCUGUGCAUGCCCCAAGGGCAUUCCUUACGGAUAACCUCCUGCAUGGUCAGCAUUCGUUAUCAGAUGUCACGCCAGGGAAAUAUGCUUUUGUGCUUGGGGCAAGGAAGAAAACAACCCCCAACUCUUAAUAGCUGCACCUCCAGGGACACUCAGCAAUCCCCACGGCAUCCUGACAUCCAAGGGAAGGCCAGUGGAAACAUUUUGUGAUCAGGCAAAAUGGGGAAAAGCACAGCAUACAGAGAACACUGCUCAUGCCCGUGGGGAGGAGGAAGCUCUAUCUCGUUUUCCGUGGCAACUAACUCAUGUGGGCUGGAUUUUCAAAGCUUAUCGUAUUCUAAGCGCCAUCGAGAUGCACCCGACGCAGUGUUAUUUCCAGGUGCGCAGCUCACCAGGGCAGUGUGGCAUCGUGUACGUGCAGCUCUGCAACCCGGAUCGCUCCCCCUUGCAAGGAAAGGUGGCUGAGCACCAUGCUGAGAGGCAGUCGAACCAGUGCUUCAGCCUCUCGCCUUUGGCGUUAAUUCCUAACACAACUCCACCUUAACAGAAAGGGACACGCGACGUCAGCUCGGCUGGUGAAGUAAGCCAAGUGGUGCCAGCAGAGAGGCAGACAAGUCUAACACUGCUGUGCUACCAACUGCCUCCAGCCAGCGCUACGCGGCCGGAUGCUGCAAACCUGCUCCAGCUAGCAGGAUGCGUUUGGAAACAGCCGGCUCGGACGGGUCCCUUGGGCGGCGGGGGGAACAGGAGGAGGCUGAGAAAAGGAAGGUCGAGUACAUCGCGGGGCCAGUUCCACACACUCUGAGGAGCAGAGGUGGAGACAGAGCAGGGCUGGAAAUGACCCUCCACCCAGAGGGUGCUGGGAGGACCGUCUCUGUGUGAGCUCUGGUGGAUGGGGAACUGCAGGAUUAAUGGAGAUGUGAGGAAAGGUGCCAGCCCUGCUUCUACGUGUGCACGUGUGUGCGGGAGCUAGAUCCGAGUAGCCGUGCAGACGGCGUGGCCAUAGGGGUCUUGAUCGUGGUGUUCCCAGUGCAACCACCCCCUGGCAGGCACGGCGCACACUUGCCCUCGCCCCUGACGGUGCAUGUUGGAAGUGGCCAGUCUCAAAGACUUCCAAUGAAAAGCCCUGGCACCUCUCCCCAACAGCAGGGUCUACUGCUUCUUGGUGAAGUGGGAGGGCAGGUCUUUGCCAUCAGGGGCUGAGAUGACAACAGCAUCCCCAUGCACUGCUUUGAGGUGUGCUCCCCAAAGGUGACCAGUGGGACUCCCUCCUUCCCAUGCCUGCAGCCCAGGCCACCCUGGGCAAGUGGAUCAUGGUGAUCGGAGGGGUUGGAGUGAAUCUGAUGCCCCUGAAGAGCGUAGAGAUGUACAACAUCCACGAGGGCAAGUGGCAGAAGAGGAACUCCCCGAGAGAAGCAGCGAUCGGCAUCUUGGUGACCGCGAAAGGCAAGGAGAAUUUGUUUGCUACGGCAGGCCUGUGGCUGGCAUGGAGGCCCCCCCGGUGCGGGGAGCACGGCAGGGAGAAGAGGGCUGCGCAGGGCUCCAGGGGCAAGGGGGGACUUUGAGCUGGGAUGGGAGAAGGAUCCCCUUUCCCUGGGAACUUGAACUGGGCCUUGUCUGAGGCUGGAGGAGUUGAUCAGUGGGUUGCCUUCCCUUCUGCAACAUCCCUUGUGCAGGGAGGAGGGACCAUUACCCUCACAGCCCUGACCCUGAAGGAGAUCCCCGACUGAAGCCACUGGGCACAGCUAAAUCCUGUGGCUCUCCCACUCUGCAGCUGUCUUGGCGGACAGCGACCUCUGUUUCCCCCAGGAUUAUUUUUUAUUUUGCCAGGCUCAAGCUUCACACAGGAGUCCAGACUUCCCCAAGGUUUGGGGUCAGGCCCAUUUCUACUUCCAGCUUCCUGUAACUCAGGGAAGGAAGCUAAGAGGGGUUCAGGGGCCAGUUCUGCUUUUGAGUACAACAGGGUCAAUCUGGAGUGACUUCACUUGGUUUGCCCAGGGCAGGAUUGGCUCCCUGUGUUGGUUCUGGUCACAUUUAUUUCCAAGGCCCAGUCACCGGGUUUGCAGAGGCACUGACUGCUCGAGACUCCAUGGAUAUCUGUGGGAGCGAGGAGCUCCUAGUGCCUCUGCAAAUCAGGCUGUCAAGAUCCCUGCACUGGUUUAACCUUCCUGGUGGUGUGAGGCCUGGGCUGCAGCUGUUGGAACAUCCCUGGGGCGGGCACGGGGCACGCACCCCCAAGCCUGUGGCACCCCUGGGGCUGCUGCACCACCCAGGCAAGGGGAGAGGGCACGGGGCCCAGAGCUGAGCCCAGGCUGCACCUGCACUGGUCCAGGCUGGCUCUGCACCCCAUGCUGGCCUUGGGGGCAUGUGCACAGGGUGGAGGGGCCGGAGGUGCCGUGUGCCGGGGCAGCUGGCAGGGGUGUGGGGGAUUGGGGCCUGGUGUGCUCCCGGGGCAGGCAGGCACUGCCUGCUGCUGCAUGGGGCUGAGCCUCUGCCUUCCAGCGCCCUGCACCGGGCUGGCCCUGCAGCAGCACCACGGGCUCCAGCCAGGCCUCAGUGUAGCCCAGAGGCCCAAGUGCUUGGGGCUUGCCCUGCCCCUGCCCCGCUCUGUCAGCGCUUCGUGCUGUGCUGGGACAGGGAGCCAAGGCCGGGCCAGUGUAACAUAUGCACUGUGAAAUGUGAUGCAUUGUGUGAGCUGAAAAUGUGACAUGAGUGUGUGACAGAAGGACAGCAAUUUGCAGAGGGCUGCUGACUGCCCUUGCACUACACAUCCCAGAGGCACCUGGAAGUGGGAAGAGGAAGUGAUGAGGACCCUGCAGAGUCCUGCUGCUGCACUGCAAAUCCCCCAAACCCAGCGGGACAGGAGGAGGAAGAGGAGGUGGUGACCUGGGAUCCCUGGCUGGCGACGUGCCAGCAAAGCUGCAAGCCGUGGUGCCCGCUGGAGAUGGACUGAAGCAGAGCAGACGCUGCACGGCACCGGUCUCUGGAGGAAAGGCUGGUUCUUGGGGACAUCCCUCCGCACAGGAGGGCAGGGGACCGUAUGUGCUGAUGUGGGACCCAGCGGGACUGACCACUACCUGUCCCCUGCCCUCUAAGUGCACGUGCUUACACUUGG